GAUGAAGAACGUAGCGAAAUGCGAUAAGUAAUGCGAAUUGCAGAAUUUCUAGUGAGUCAUCGAAUCUUUGAACGCACAUUGCGCCCUUUGGUAUUCCGAAGGGCAUGCCUGUUCGAGCGUCAUUAUCAACCCUCAAGCCUGGCUUGUUGUUGGACCUCAGGUCGCCGCUCCGGUGGACCGGUCUCAAAGACAAUGACGGCGUCCGUGGGACCCUCGGUGCAAUGAGCUUCUUCCAAAGCACGCAUCAGAGUGGGCUCGCGGGGGCCAUCUCCCCGUCAUAUUUUAUCAAGGUUGACCUCGGAUCAGGUAGGAAUACCCGCUGAACUUAAGCAUAUCAAUAAGCGGAGGA
Molecule: unclassified non-coding RNA, 349 nt
Filed under: soil metagenome
Description: partial contains 5.8S ribosomal RNA, internal transcribed spacer 2, and large subunit ribosomal RNA
Rfam family: 5.8S ribosomal RNA (bases 1-122)
Source: RNAcentral